CAUGGCUCAGGAUGAACGCUGGCGGCGUGCUUAACACAUGCAAGUCGAACGGUGAACACGGAGCUUGCUCUGUGGGAUCAGUGGCGAACGGGUGAGUAACACGUGAGCAACCUACCCCUGACUCUGGGAUAAGCGCUGGAAACGGCGUCUAAUACUGGAUACGAGUGGCGACCGCAUGGUCAGCUACUGGAAAGAUUUAUUGGUUGGGGAUGGGCUCGCGGCCUAUCAGCUUGUUGGUGAGGUAAUGGCUCACCAAGGCGUCGACGGGUAGCCGGCCUGAGAGGGUGACCGGCCACACUGGGACUGAGACACGGCCCAGACUCCUACGGGAGGCAGCAGUGGGGAAUAUUGCACAAUGGGCGCAAGCCUGAUGCAGCAACGCCGCGUGAGGGAUGACGGCCUUCGGGUUGUAAACCUCUUUUAGCAGGGAAGAAGCGAAAGUGACGGUACCUGCAGAAAAAGCGCCGGCUAACUACGUGCCAGCAGCCGCGGUAAUACGUAGGGCGCAAGCGUUAUCCGGAAUUAUUGGGCGUAAAGAGCUCGUAGGCGGUUUGUCGCGUCUGCUGUGAAAUCCGGAGGCUCAACCUCCGGCCUGCAGUGGGUACGGGCAGACUAGAGUGCGGUAGGGGAGAUUGGAAUUCCUGGUGUAGCGGUGGAAUGCGCAGAUAUCAGGAGGAACACCGAUGGCGAAGGCAGAUCUCUGGGCCGUAAC
This 712-nucleotide ribosomal RNA is filed under the name Microbacterium sp. SMCC G941. RNAcentral's name for it is "bacterial SSU rRNA". It matches the Rfam family "Bacterial small subunit ribosomal RNA", at positions 18 to 740 of the family's 1533-position model. Lineage: Bacteria; Bacillati; Actinomycetota; Actinomycetes; Micrococcales; Microbacteriaceae. The record is from RNAcentral.